AACAAAAUGGGAAUGCCCAUGGUGAUCCAAAAAACAACCAUCCAGAGCAUUUGGGUAGGCCAUUACAGGGAUAAUCGUGCUAGAGCCCUUAGCUGGAAACCCGCCGGCGACAUAAAGAUCUCCAAGAAAAGAUUAGCCGUUGAGAGAAUGAUAACGGGAAAAAAAAUUCAAAUAAUGUUGAUAGAGACCCCCCCCAAAAAGCAUCUGAAAUUAGGAUAAGAUAAACAAUUCAGUUUCAUUCGGUUACAGACAUUCAUUCUUUCUCUCAUUCUCCCUCUCUGUCGAUGUUCUGUUCUGUGAUUGUCUCUGUGUCAAUGUUCUAUUUUGUGAUUGUCUCUUUUCAAUGUUCUUUUUCUUUCUCUCUGUUUUGUUCAAUUUUCAUGUGCUUGGUUCGUUUUGUUUUUUCAUUUUUCUUUUGUACAGCGUGCACGCUGGUCUGUUUGUCUGUUUUUUUGGUGUUACAUUUUUGUGGCAGAGCAGAGGAAAGACCGAGGAGAGGAAGACGCAUAGCAACUGAGGGCAAAAUCUUCUUCCAGGCAUGAGAUGCAGGGCCUGCCAAGAGUUCAUAUAACCGAUGAAGAGAUGGGAAGUUUCUUCAUCGGAUGGGAAGUUUCUUAUGACCUGCUUCCUAGAUCAAAAGUAGCUGCUCUAGAAGGAAAACAUAUUUUCAUAACAGCUAACCCAGUGUUUGAAUUCUCUGUGUUCUCAGGAAAUGAGUUGAUCUUCACCUGCAUAACUAAUCCAUUUGGAUUUUCUAUCAAGCACAGAUCCUAUGGAGAGGUUCUAUUCAACUCCUCGUAUGGCAGCUUGGUUUUCAUUAUCUGACUUGCCAUACAAGCUUAUUGGGGUUCGCUGGAUUUCUACUUCGCACAUGGGACAUACAGGUGCAAUGCCCUAUUGGGCUUCUGGUAUGU
Long non-coding RNA from Cryptomeria japonica (Japanese cedar), 914 nucleotides. RefSeq lists it as uncharacterized. The transcript has 3 exons. NCBI's taxonomy places the organism in Eukaryota, Viridiplantae, Streptophyta, Pinopsida, Cupressales, Cupressaceae. The record is from RefSeq and is a predicted model, not a curated record.